GACGAACGCUGGCGGCGUGCUUAACACAUGCAAGUCGAACGGAAAGACCCUGCUUUUGUGGGGUGCUCGAGUGGCGAACGGGUGAGUAACACGUGAGUAACCUGCCCUUGACUUUGGGAUAACUUCAGGAAACUGGGGCUAAUACCGGAUAGGAGCUCCUGCUGCAUGGUGGGGGUUGGAAAGUUUCGGCGGUUGGGGAUGGACUCGCGGCUUAUCAGCUUGUUGGUGGGGUAGUGGCUUACCAAGGCUUUGACGGGUAGCCGGCCUGAGAGGGUGACCGGCCACAUUGGGACUGAGAUACGGCCCAGACUCCUUCGGGAGGCAGCAGUGGGGAAUAUUGCACAAUGGGCGGAAGCCUGAUGCAGCAACGCCGCGUGCGGGAUGACGGCCUUCGGGUUGUAAACCGCUUUCGCCUGUGACGAAGCGUGAGUGACGGUAAUGGGUAAAGAAGCACCGGCUAACUACGUG
This 468-nucleotide ribosomal RNA is filed under the name uncultured bacterium. Its description in RNAcentral is "partial 16S ribosomal RNA". It matches the Rfam family "Bacterial small subunit ribosomal RNA", at positions 28 to 507 of the family's 1533-position model. The record is from RNAcentral.